This 253-nucleotide ribosomal RNA is filed under the name uncultured bacterium. RNAcentral describes it as "partial 16S ribosomal RNA". It matches the Rfam family "Bacterial small subunit ribosomal RNA", at positions 524 to 776 of the family's 1533-position model. The record is from RNAcentral.
UACGUAGGGUGCGAGCGUUAAUCGGAAUUACUGGGCGUAAAGUGUGCGCAGGCGGCUUGGCAAGUCGAGUGUGAAAUCCCCGGGCUUAACUUGGGAAUUGCGCUUGAAACUACCUGGCUUGAGUGUGGCAGAGGAAGGUGGAAUUCCACGUGUAGCGGUGAAAUGCGUAGAGAUGUGGAGGAACACCGAUGGCGAAGGCAGCCUUCUGGGCCAACACUGACGCUCAUGCACGAAAGCGUGGGGAGCAAACAGG